This 7287-nucleotide long non-coding RNA is filed under the name Capsicum annuum. RNAcentral's name for it is "long non-coding RNA (CANN_LNC003224)". The record is from RNAcentral. Lineage: Eukaryota; Viridiplantae; Streptophyta; Magnoliopsida; Solanales; Solanaceae.
UGGCAGUCACAUGUUUGGCUUGUGAAAAAGAAUUAGACUCGCACGUGAGAGGGCAAGCUGAAGAUAUAUAUAUGUAAACGAAUUUAUCAUUUCUAACAGUUUAACUUAGGCAGAUUCAACUGAACUUACCAAGUUAUAAUGGAUACAGAAACGAUCAGACAGCGACUCAACAGCACCAAAAGCCCAACAAGAACCGCAAUGUCCCUGAAAUAUAUAAAAAUUAGACCACUAGAGAGAACCAUGAAAUGUGCCAUUUAGCACAUUUAUAAUGGAAAGAAACUAAUUUGGUAGCAGCAAAUCACCUGAUCUGCCAUGCAAGUUCGUCCCAGUGAUUGAUAUGCAAAGAUGGAAAGCAUUAGCAUCCCUAUUAUAGAAUAGAAUUAUAACCCGAAAGGACAGAGCAAGGAAGUGAAAUAACUGACCGAGAAUUCUUCCAAUUGUGCUGCAUUGAGGCCAAGCCUUUCGUGCAUCAAACUCUUCUGGUAACUCCUUAAGUUUUGGAUGAGUCAGAAUAGGAAUUCCCUCUAAAUCACCUUCUCUUGCAGGUUUAACCCCAAGAAGACGCUUAAACUGGGAAACCUGUAUCGACAACCAAAUAUGGACAUAAUUAUAAAUACAUGUUUUCGGUGUAUAGCUGCAUACUGAAUAAGUAUGAGACAUCCAACUAGAAGAAAAUGCAAUCAUCAUUGAUUAAUUAAUAGCAUGCUAUAUUUGUUGGGUUUAAUUGGUGUGAAUGGAAAAUAGAGGGACACAACCUUUGAUCAAAAGACAUUGUUUUGGAAAAGGUGUGACUGUUCAGAUAGUUGUGUCUGUUCAGAAAGAGACACAAUAUCUCGAAUGAACAAACACGACUCUUCCAAAGAAUACACCUUUUAAGUGAACCAUUGUCACCUUUCAGAAGAGGCAUCUGAUGGCUAUAUAAACCUGCUUUCAUCCACAAGUUUGAUGUGAAUGAAAAAUUUUCUGAAAUAAAAACUCUUCUUGUCUUCAAAACAUUCUUUGUGAUCAAUCAAAUCGUUGAGUGAGUUUGACGAAUCCAAUUAUUUGAGGUACCACUAUAGUUGGAUUGAAAGCCAUUUUAUCCUGGGAGGAAGAUUCUAAAACCUCGGAUACAGUGAGGGGAAUUGUUCCUCAAGGACACUCCGUGAAGUCGGGGAACUUGGCUUUAUAUUUCUGUUUCAUCUUAAUUUUUGAAAAAAUAAAACACAUUUGUUAGAAAAAUCACUUUGAUCUUGUGUUGAGGGUGUUUUCGUACUUCAUAGUGUUCUUGUUUUAAACUUGAACUAGUAUUGAAGUUGUUGUGCCUAAAUACAGAUUCUUGUACCCAAAAUCACCAUAAAAUAACAAUCUUAAGGAAUAAACUUAGCAGAAUCUGUAUUGCUUAUUUUUGGAGAUUAAAACUUUAAGCUUUCUACUCUGUUUGAACUUAACUAGUGAUUCGAAGACAUAAAAUCUUCAUCACAAGUUAAAGAUCAUUCGGUUGACGAUUGGAAGUCAUAAAAACUUCAUCGUUCACUAGAAACAAGAAGAAGAGUUUAAAGUUGCUUAAUUUUAUAAAUAGUAUUCUGAAAAUACUAAAUUUUAUUGUCUUGUGGUAUAUAAAAAUUAGACCACUAGAGAGAACCAUGAAAUGUGCCAUUUAGCACAUUUAUAAUGGAAAGAAACUAAUUUGGUAGCAGCAAAUCACCUGAUCUGCCAUGCAAGUUCGUCCCAGUGAUUGAUAUGCAAAGAUGGAAAGCAUUAGCAUCCCUAUUAUAGAAUAGAAUUAUAACCCGAAAGGACAGAGCAAGGAAGUGAAAUAACUGACCGAGAAUUCUUCCAAUUGUGCUGCAUUGAGGCCAAGCCUUUCGUGCAUCAAACUCUUCUGGUAACUCCUUAAGUUUUGGAUGAGUCAGAAUAGGAAUUCCCUCUAAAUCACCUUCUCUUGCAGGUUUAACCCCAAGAAGACGCUUAAACUGGGAAACCUGUAUCGACAACCAAAUAUGGACAUAAUUAUAAAUACAUGUUUUCGGUGUAUAGCUGCAUACUGAAUAAGUAUGAGACAUCCAACUAGAAGAAAAUGCAAUCAUCAUUGAUUAAUUAAUAGCAUGCUAUAUUUGUUGGGUUUAAUUGGUGUGAAUGGAAAAUAGAGGGACACAACCUUUGAUCAAAAGACAUUGUUUUGGAAAAGGUGUGACUGUUCAGAUAGUUGUGUCUGUUCAGAAAGAGACACAAUAUCUCGAAUGAACAAACACGACUCUUCCAAAGAAUACACCUUUUAAGUGAACCAUUGUCACCUUUCAGAAGAGGCAUCUGAUGGCUAUAUAAACCUGCUUUCAUCCACAAGUUUGAUGUGAAUGAAAAAUUUUCUGAAAUAAAAACUCUUCUUGUCUUCAAAACAUUCUUUGUGAUCAAUCAAAUCGUUGAGUGAGUUUGACGAAUCCAAUUAUUUGAGGUACCACUAUAGUUGGAUUGAAAGCCAUUUUAUCCUGGGAGGAAGAUUCUAAAACCUCGGAUACAGUGAGGGGAAUUGUUCCUCAAGGACACUCCGUGAAGUCGGGGAACUUGGCUUUAUAUUUCUGUUUCAUCUUAAUUUUUGAAAAAAUAAAACACAUUUGUUAGAAAAAUCACUUUGAUCUUGUGUUGAGGGUGUUUUCGUACUUCAUAGUGUUCUUGUUUUAAACUUGAACUAGUAUUGAAGUUGUUGUGCCUAAAUACAGAUUCUUGUACCCAAAAUCACCAUAAAAUAACAAUCUUAAGGAAUAAACUUAGCAGAAUCUGUAUUGCUUAUUUUUGGAGAUUAAAACUUUAAGCUUUCUACUCUGUUUGAACUUAACUAGUGAUUCGAAGACAUAAAAUCUUCAUCACAAGUUAAAGAUCAUUCGGUUGACGAUUGGAAGUCAUAAAAACUUCAUCGUUCACUAGAAACAAGAAGAAGAGUUUAAAGUUGCUUAAUUUUAUAAAUAGUAUUCUGAAAAUACUAAAUUUUAUUGUCUUGUGGUCACAGGAAAAAUGACUAACGAAAGUCAAAUGCAAGACGCGGCUACGACUGUGGGGGCAACUAGUAUUGCCUCAACAAGUCGAGCAAAUGCUCUGCAACCAAUGGCACCUGCGGAGAAGCCCGAAAAAUUUGCGGGCAUUGACUUUAAGCGAUGGCAGCAAAAGAUGUUCUUUUACAUCACCACUCUAUGCCUUCAAAGGUUCACUAGUGAGGAUGCUCCUGAGGUGCCCGAGGGAACCUCGGACAAAGAGCAUUUCAUGAUUGUAGAGGCUUGGAAGCACUCAUACCAGAAUUUUUACUGCAUCGGUGCAAGUUUCGCAGGGGCAGGCCUAGGUUGAGUGGUGCUUCGGCACCCAUUAAACCCGAUGCAAAAUAGGUAUAAUUAUAUAAGAAAUGCAUAAAAAUUAUUAUAGGAUGGGCAAAAGCACCCGUGAAACCAAAAAGAUAGUUGAGUUCUUUGAUUUCCAUGCGGAACCUUAAAGCUUUAGGUGUCAAUAUAUAUGUUUGAACUUUCUGAACACCUACGACUCUCAAAUUCUGAGUCCGCCACUAAAGUUUAGUAUCCUGUUAUAAUCCAUAAUGCAAGUUCUGAAAUUUACAGCUAAUUAAACCCAUGAGAUGAAGCUGCAAUUUAGUAGUAAAUUUUGGUUCCCCAGUCUCAUAGACUUUGCUUUCUAGUAUAUGUAGUGUGGUAUCCUGUUGAAGAAGUAGCGUUUUAUAUUGAGUCAUUAAGAAAAUCAUCAUCAAGUUCCACAUUCAGAUUUCUUGCUGAAGGAAAUCCUGCAACUACAUCAAAUUCAAUGCAACACUCAUUUGUUCCUCUUCUAAUCUUGAAGUUACUCUUCCUGCCACGCACACACUAAGGCAUUGUGCAUCGAACUCUUUUGGUAAAUUCUUAAAUUUUGGAUGAGUUAAAAUAGGCAUGGUGUGUGCAUGGGACUGUCUUUUUUAUGGUAUUAUAUAAGAGGAUGAUUUCUGUAGUUGAUCAUCCUAACAUGAAUGUGAAUUGAUUUUUGUAUGUAAACACACCCCUCCUCGUCCUCAUUUAAACCAUUUUUUGUAUGUAGACUCACCCCUCCUCAUCCUCAUUUAAAUUAUCCUCUGCCAAACAUUCAUAGUAUGACUUUAGUAGCUUGAUGCCCUUAUUGCAAUUAGUUGAGGAUAUUGUAGCUUUUCCAUGUUGACAUUGAUGUAUUUGUUUAUUAUUGAUCCAGUCUCAUUUGGUUUUUUAGCUUGAUACCCCUUGUUGCAAAUUCAGGGUGUCUCGUUCAUUAUGCCACUUGGGCAAUUGUUUAAGAUUUCAAAAUUAUUGCCAUCUUUUAUUAGCAUAAAAAAAACAACUCAUAUUUUUCUGGAAAAAAAAAAAUCCAAUUAGAGUUUUACAUAGAAGUGGUUGAAAAGAAUAUUUUCUUAAUCUUAAAUAUUUUCUAAAUGUAUAAUAGUCACUCUGACAUUGAUGAUUUAGAUUUAUUUUUUGAAUUGAAAGUGUUAAUUAAAGGAAAUAGUAAAAUGCAGAAGAAAAUAAUGUAAUUGAUAUACACAGUCAGAUUGAUAAACCAACUUGAUUUAUUUUCUGAUGUUUAUAUUGCUUAUAGAAUAAUAUUGACAGUUCUUGCUACAGUUGCCUUAACCGAAAAAAGUUUUUCAAAAUUAAAAUUGAUUAUGAGAAAGUGUUGACUCUCUCUCUGUUAGAGUUUUCGCCUCACUAAUACCCUUCAUUAGAGUUUUCGCCUUAUGCCUCAAUAUGAUUGAUAUGCCCCUGAAUGCAAUUAGUUGGGUUUUUUUUAGCUUUUGCAAAUGUAAUUGUCUCAUUGGUUUACACUUGAUGAAAGCUUGAAAUAACCAUUCACAUCUUUGUCAUAAUAUGUAUUUGGUUGUCUAAAUCUUAAUCAUUAGUGCAUCUCAACUAUUAACGAUUUAAUGAGUUAAAAUAGAUUUGAAUGAUUAUUAAGUCAUAAACUGAAAAUAAUAACAUACUGAAAAGUGAAUAUUGGAAUAAGUAGUAUUAAUUAUGAAUUAUACAGAUUAAACUGACGAGAUAAAUAUGCAAGUUCACAAGUCAUAUUAUAUUGCUACUAUUAUGUUGAAGAAAUAGUAGGCAAUUUACAUUGAAGCAUUAAGGAAAGCAUCAUCAAGUUCCACAUUCAAAUUUCUUGCUGAAGGCAAUCCAGCAACUACAUCAUGUUCAAUGCCACAUUCAUUUGUUCCUCUUCUGAUUUUGAAGUAUCCAUCCUGUCAUCAUGGAGGUACAUAUACAUUCAGCAUGUUGACAACAAGCUUAUUAAAUGGAUAAGAGUUCAACUUACGAGCACUGACAGGUGAAAAAUGACAUACAACGUGUAACUGGCUAUAGUAAUCUAAAUUUAGUAACUUUUAAUGUAGUAAAUAACUUGCUUUAACCGGUUGAAAGCCUAUUUACGUUGUCAGUAUAUAUAAAUUAAAGACGUACAGAGGUGUGUCAGUUAGCCUAUUUUCAGCAAGAAGUUAGAAUGUCAAUGGUUAAGGAGGUUUUUGGUCAUAUAAAGUGGUGAGAGCAUAAAGAGAAAAUCAAGGACAUACAUCACCCCAGCCUCUAUUCCAAGAAUUAGCAAUGAGCUGCAAGAAGAGAAGACAUAAAGAAGGUGAUUAAAUUUUGCCAAAAUUAUGUAUUAUUUUAAAUAGAAAAUCGAAGGCCAUAACUCGAACACAUCAACAUACCCAAUAAUCCUCUCCCUGCUCACUUGUUCCCCAUCCGAUAAGCUUAACGGCAUGGCCUCCCAUACUUUUCCCUGUUAUAUGCUUGUAAACUCCUGACUUGUAGUGAGCAAAAUCCUGUGAUGAUAAGAAGUUUCAAACAUUGAGAACCGGGAAAGCGUUGCUAGUCCAAAGAGAUAACAAAGGUUUUAUAUAACUUAUAAGCUCAAACAAUGUCUUAUUUCAAAACUGCAUGACAUAAUUUAUAAAACUAGAACUUUUGUACUAUUAAUCCUUCUCCUUGUUACCUGGUAGACAGUAAAAGAGACCUCAACUGGUCCAUUUUCGUAAAUUUCUGCCAUGAUACUGUAGGGAUCACGGCUGAUCCUGUAUGCAUUGACACUAUAAUGUUUUGAUUUCCUCCAUAACAGGUUCUCCUUGACACACCUCCUAUGACACCUUGGCGUGGGAUAUGCAGGUUCGCAUCCAGGGUGGGAACAUCCCUCAUUAUCAAAGUAAGGGUCACACUGCCGGAAUAAACUUAAUUUGUUAGUGAUUGGUCAUAAAGAGCCACACUACUGACUUACUUAGAUGGUUUUACAGAAAGUUGUAAUUUCAUUGAGGUGACAAUAAGUCACCAUUUACCUCUACUGUAACCACUCCCCUACGUCUAAAGUAUCUCCAUGCUGCUAUAGGAUAUCCACCAUCACAACCAUUCCCGCAUAAAAAGCCACAGCACGCUAAGACAUCAUUUACAGACAGAGAGACACUCUGCAUCACACAUUAAAAGUUAAAUAUCAGUGACCAUAACUAUAGUCAAGCUUCACAAGUUUGUGUGCAAAGAUUAGGUGGCAGUCACAUGUUUGGCUUGUGAAAAAGAAUUAGACUCGCACGUGAGAGGGCAAGCUGAAGAUAUAUAUAUGUAAACGAAUUUAUCAUUUCUAACAGUUUAACUUAGGCAGAUUCAACUGAACUUACCAAGUUAUAAUGGAUACAGAAACGAUCAGACAGCGACUCAACAGCACCAAAAGCCCAACAAGAACCGCAAUGUCCCUGAAAUAUAUAAAAAUUAGACCACUAGAGAGAACCAUGAAAUGUGCCAUUUAGCACAUUUAUAAUGGAAAGAAACUAAUUUGGUAGCAGCAAAUCACCUGAUCUGCCAUGCAAGUUCGUCCCAGUGAUUGAUAUGCAAAGAUGGAAAGCAUUAGCAUCCCUAUUAUAGAAUAGAAUUAUAACCCGAAAGGACAGAGCAAGGAAGUGAAAUAACUGACCGAGAAUUCUUCCAAUUGUGCUGCAUUGAGGCCAAGCCUUUCGUGCAUCAAACUCUUCUGGUAACUCCUUAAGUUUUGGAUGAGUCAGAAUAGGAAUUCCCUCUAAAUCACCUUCUCUUGCAGGUUUAACCCCAAGAAGACGCUUAAACUGGGAAACCUGUAUCGACAACCAAAUAUGGACAUAAUUAUAAAUACAUGUUUUCGGUGUAUAGCUGCAUACUGAAUAAGUAUGAGACAUCCAACUAGAAGAAAAUGCAAUCAUCAUUGAUUAAUUAAUAGCAUGCUAUAUUUGUUGGGUUUAAUUGGUGUGAAUGGAAAAUAGAGGGACACAACCUUUGAUCAAAAGACAUUGUUUUGGAAAAG